Molecule: long non-coding RNA, 1427 nt
Filed under: Phasianus colchicus (ring-necked pheasant)
Lineage: Eukaryota; Metazoa; Chordata; Aves; Galliformes; Phasianidae
Description: lncRNA (ENSPCLG00000012837.1)
Source: RNAcentral
GAAUGUAAAAAAGACACUGUGGGGAAAAAGAUCAAUGGGGAAUUUUGUACCAGCAAGGCUAUUACACGUGAGAAUACUGAUUCAAAUGCAUCUGAAAUGAGAAAAGCCCAAAAGUUACUGCUUACUAUGAUCUGCAGCUAUGUAAAGUUACUAAUUGCCUUCCAUUUCCUAAGUAACAACCUACACCCUGCCAGCUGAGACUAUCAAAUCGGUUUCAAAUAUUCACCAGAAGGUUUUUUAAAUAAAACCAUCUUUUUAAACAUCACUUUAUACUGUUGAACAAAACCACAAAAUUCACCCUUGUUUCUAAACACCUUGUGAGACAUCUUCUCUACCUUUGCCAAAAAACCUUUUUCCCCCUCUUCCUCACCUGUUGCAUCAGCUUUCCACUUCUGCUUUGCUUGCAUUACCUGCUCCCACUUAAAUUGAGGAAAUAGUAUCUUUAUCACUGCCACUAACUGAUUGCCAUACACUGAGCUCAGAUUUAAUUCUAUAGCCCCAUUACAAGCUCCUGUACAGGACCAAGAUGCUGUAACUGAACGUGUAGAUAUUGUACUAAGGACAUAGUUUAGCUGGAAAUAUUGGUGACAGGUGGAUGGUUGGCCUGGAUGAUCUCGGAGGUCUUUUCCAACCUUGGCGAUUCUGUGAUUCUAGGUUAGCGCUGCUCCCAGGUAACCGUUGUGAGGUCACAAGACAGACAAACAGCAAAGCCACAGAGUAACGCAAAAAGGUAGCGCUGCCCACAGAGGUGCUUUCAAAGAUGUAGGGCCUCACAAAUGCUCUGUGUUUUUGAGAGGUCGCCAACAGAGCCACGCUGCCUUGAAAGAAAUGCAAGCAUCUUUAAAGGUCAUACCCUGGGAGAAGGCACUCAAUACCAUAAUUGGAUAAUUAAUUCCAACUCUCCAGGUGAUGACUCCUGAAUGCUCAGAACCGCUUCCACUCUUUGUAAAUUAAAUUAAUUAAAAUCUGGCACUAAGCCUUUUCAAUAAGGAAAGCAGCAUCCAGGAAAUUAGAGGUGUAAGGAGAAGCUUCGACAAUGAAGCAGCCCAUCAUACACUACAGACGUGCAUUAUUAUUUUUGAUUCUUAAACUAAGGUCUAACAUGGGUUAGCAUGUAAUAUAUACAAAUCACAGAUGUUUUCCAGAAGAACUGACAGUUUUUACUGCAUAUAUCCAAUCUGCAGACUUCUAUCAAAUUUAUAUCAAAUAUUCAUAUUGGAAAAUAUUAACUGUUCUUUUUUUUAAUAGAGAAAAACUUAUCUAAUCAUUUAUAUGACAAAAAAAUCCCACUUAAUUUUUGAUGCCAUUUUAAUUACUACCAAUAACUCAGCUAUCAUACAGGGAGCUUGGAUUUAAUUCAGAUCAAGUCUACAACUGUUUUGCUAACAAAAUUAAUUAUCAGUAAUAAAUCUGGAUAGUUCUUCUCA